GAUGAAGAACGCAGCGAAAUGCGAUAAGUAAUGCGAAUUGCAGAAUCCGUGAGUCAUCGAAUCUUUGAACGCACCUUGCGCCCUUUGGCCAUUCCGAAGGGCAUGCCUGUUUGAGUAUCAUGAACACCUCAACUCUUCAUGGUUUUCCAUGAUGAGCUUGGACUUUGGGGGUCUUGCUGGCCUGUGGGUCGGCUCCUCUCAAAUGAAUCAGCUUGCCGGUUUUUGGUGGGCAUCACAGGUGUGAUAACUAUCUACGCUUGUGGUUUUCCACCAGGGUAACCUUCAGCAGUGGAGGUUCACUGGAGCUUACAAAUGUCUCUCCUCUGUGAGGACAGCCCUUUGAAUGUUUGAUCUCAAAUCAGGUAGGACUACCCGCUGAACUUAAGCAUAUCAAUAAGCGGAGGA
This 405-nucleotide unclassified non-coding RNA is filed under the name soil metagenome. Its description in RNAcentral is "partial contains 5.8S ribosomal RNA, internal transcribed spacer 2, and large subunit ribosomal RNA". The stretch from base 1 to 120 matches the Rfam family "5.8S ribosomal RNA", at positions 35 to 154 of the family's 154-position model. The record is from RNAcentral.